Molecule: ribosomal RNA, 384 nt
Filed under: uncultured bacterium
Lineage: Bacteria
Description: bacterial SSU rRNA
Rfam family: Bacterial small subunit ribosomal RNA
Source: RNAcentral
AUUGAACGCUGGCGGCAUGCCUUACACAUGCAAGUCGAACGGCAGCGGACCUUCGGGUGCCGGCGAGUGGCGAACGGGUGAGUAAUGCAUCGGAACGUGCCAUUGAGUGGGGGAUAACGUAGCGAAAGUUGUGCUAAUACCGCAUAUUCUGUGAGCAGGAAAGCAGGGGACCGCAAGGCCUUGCGCUCUUUGAGCGGCCGAUGUCAGAUUAGCUAGUUGGUGAGGUAACGGCUUACCAAGGCGACGAUCUGUAGCGGGUCUGAGAGGAUGAUCCGCCACACUGGAACUGAGACACGGUCCAGACUCCUACGGGAGGCAGCAGUGGGGAAUUUUGGACAAUGGGGGCAACCCUGAUCCAGCCAUGCCGCGUGAGUGAAGAAGGCC